Diorhabda carinulata is the source of this 1092-nucleotide long non-coding RNA. RefSeq lists it as uncharacterized. The record is from RefSeq and is a predicted model, not a curated record. The transcript has 3 exons. Lineage: Eukaryota; Metazoa; Arthropoda; Insecta; Coleoptera; Chrysomelidae.
GAAAAACAUGACAUAACAGAGAUAAGUGUGUUUUUAAAAAUUAUUUUUGUAAUUUUUGUAAUGAAAAAGGCCACUUAGCCAAUAUUUGCCAGAAAAAACUUAAGAGGUGUAAUUAUUUUUUAAAUAAUAAUAAUUCUGAUUUAUCAUCUGAUGAAAAUAGUACUCUGCGACUGGAUAAGCAAGAGGGAGCCAAGCCCAAGUUUUGCAAAGCCUGUUCCAUUCCUUUUGCCUUAUGCCGAGGAGUUGAGGCGGAACUAGACCGACUUGUCACUGAAAACAUCUUGAGCCCAGUAUCAUACAGCAGUUGGGCAACACCCAUUGUACCAGUAGCUAAGAAAAAUGGAACCAUCAGAAUUUGUGGUAAAAACAACAUAGAAUUUAAAGAAAUUGCACCUUUUCAUCCAUCAUCUAAUGGUCAAGCUGAAAAUGCGGUUAAAACAGUUAAACAAGCAAUACUUAAGAUUUUAAAAAGGAGUUCAUUGUCAGAACUUAACCGUAAUUUAAACAAUUUUCUUUUAUCUUAUCGAAUUACACCACACUGUUCUACAGGAAAAUAUCCAGCCAAUUUAAUGUUUCAAAUAAACAUAAGAAGUGUUUAUGAUUUUUGGAAUAACAAUGUAAAUAUUGUAAAUCAUACAGCUAUUGAUGUAACAGACUUUAGUAUUAGUAAACAAAAUGUAAUAGGAGAUCAUGUAGCAGUAAGGGAUUAUAGAGUUGUUAAUUAACCUUCUUGGUUAAAGGGAAUAAUUCAUAAGAAGAUAGGUUCAAAAACUUAUUUUGUAUUUAUACCUAGUCUAGAUAAAACAUGGAGGAGGCACAUAAAUCAAAUAGUAGAUUUUGAAUUUUCAGUUGACGUACAUUCUUCUGACCAUAACAUGUGUAAUAAACCUACCAAAAAUAUCAGUCCAAUUAAUGAAAACAAAAAUUGUCAUGAAUCUGAUGAAGAUAAUUAUUGUAAAUCUGCUGAACCUGUUACAUCUAAUUUAAUACCUGAUGUCUGUACCCCAAGAAGAAGUAAAAGGAAACUUAAAUCAAUGAAAUACUUUUAAGUAAUUAAUUUAUUUUAUUUUUAGUUUUUGUUUUUUUUUAGGG